Molecule: long non-coding RNA, 614 nt
Organism: Raphanus sativus (radish)
Lineage: Eukaryota; Viridiplantae; Streptophyta; Magnoliopsida; Brassicales; Brassicaceae
Exons: 2
Source: RefSeq, a predicted model, not a curated record
UCAUGUGUUUAAUUUUUGUUCAUAUAAACAAAAUAUCUGAAAUGGUUGAUUUUUUUUUUAAAAGUUGGACUGAAUGGCCCAAAGGAAAAGGCUGCGGAAAUUGGAUCAAAUUUUCCUACUCAGCCCAAAUGGUCCAAAAGAUUUUCUUACCUCUCAACCAAAUGUAUGGUCAUAGACAAUCGAGGAAAGAAAAAAAAAUCUCUCUCGACGUUUCUUUCUCAAAUGAAUCGAUUUCCAUGGCGAUUCGAAUCUAAAAUAAUAAAAAAAUUCAUGCUGGUAAAGACUGUAACAAUUGCUUGAAGAGGUGAAUACUUAGGGUAGCAAAUUUGAUUUGGAAACAAAGUCAAACAGAUGGUCGGAAACUCGUUAGAUCCACCAAGGACUUCUCAUACUCCAAUCUGUUAAGGAAACGUGGGUUGACACAGAUGACAUGUUCUGAAAGUGGGCCUAUUUUUAAGACAUUCAAACUUUGUAGAAAACCAACGUGUGGCCUUUUAAAGCGUAUUUUGUUAACCGAACAAAAUGAGUUUGCAAUAGCCAAUAGAUUUGGGAUAAAUCAUGUAAUGAAAAAGUACGGUAUUUCCCUUAAUGAAGAUGUCGAUUUAUUUUGAAAA